Long non-coding RNA from Triticum dicoccoides, 473 nucleotides. RefSeq lists it as uncharacterized. NCBI's taxonomy places the organism in Eukaryota, Viridiplantae, Streptophyta, Magnoliopsida, Poales, Poaceae. The transcript has 3 exons. The record is from RefSeq and is a predicted model, not a curated record.
GUGGGUGUACUACUGAUAAUCUCAAACUUGUUCCUCUUAACUUCAGUAGAAGAAUUUCUGGGAAUAGAUAAAUGUGUGUAUGCAAAGUGUUGUGUGAUGGGAUGUGGCCUGUGGCUGGGUUAAUUAGCUAGAGAUCUCAAUUAGCUAUGCCGGGGCAGAUCCUUUGUGUCUGUACAGUUUAGGCCAAGAAGAGAAGCAAACGUGCUGCUCAUCAUUUGCCAUCAUCCAUCUCUACUCAAAUUAUGUUCAUCUUUUUCAGUUCAUCUUUGAAAUUUCGGUCCAUUUUCUGUUGGCAGGAUGCGUAAAAAAAGUCGAAGGCAGCAACUCAAAAAUAGAUGAAUGUUGGAAGGAAUAUGUAUAAGGCUGAGAGGAAAUAUCAUCUUGAGUUCAACAUUUGGUGUUUCUUCAGGUCACUUUAGCGUGCAUUUUCAGUACAUCUUCCAGUUCAGUGUGUAUUUUAAGAAGAAAAACCA